Molecule: long non-coding RNA, 855 nt
Filed under: Marmota monax (woodchuck)
Lineage: Eukaryota; Metazoa; Chordata; Mammalia; Rodentia; Sciuridae
Source: RNAcentral
GUGGAAAGAAGGUCACAUUCGUAUGUGGGGAGAGGUGAGCAGACCAUCCAGGCAAAAGAACACAUUCACAGUCUGAAAUGUGCUUAAUGUGUUCUGGGAACAAAAUGGCCACUGUGCUGACCCAAGAAGGUGAAAGGAAAGAGUUGAAGUAAAGAAGUAUGAUUGCAUAUGGGGAAAGACCAAGGCGUGCAGGAAAACCACAGUGCUGCUUUGAACAGAAGAGUUAUAAGACUUAAAUUUUCAAAGAUCACUUUGGUUCCUGGGGACCAGGGUAAAAAGUAUAGAGCAAUUAUGCAUUUAAUGCAAUAUUUCUAGGCAAGAGAUGACAGCAGUAGUAGUAGAGAUGGUUGGAAAUGAAGGUAGAGGCAGUAAGCUGUGCUGAUGUGUGAGGUGAGAGGUGAGAAUGAACUUAAUGAAUGGAUUGAGCAAAAUGAGUGACAACUGUUGGAUUUCAGUAGUGGGGAAGAAAGCCUCGUUAACAUGGGCUCCAAAAACACAUUCACAGGCAGCACAUGGCUCAUGAAAUGUCAUAAUACAAUUGUGUGCUUGUUAUUACAUCUGCUUUAAGCAAAAGAUAUGUGAAUGACUCAUUUGAAUCAUUAGAAAUUUUUCUCAAAAUUUAGUUGAAUUGCUAGAUUCGUAUUGUGUUACCAUUCUGAACUACAGUGUAUUCAAUAAUUCGCUACAACGUGAACAGUAAUGAUGACACAAGAUUGCAAGAAGAACAGCAAUGAACCUCAAUUAACUUGAAAAAAUGAAUACAUGGAUAUACAUGUAUAUCCUUUGAGUGUAUACACCUGUGCUCACAUGUAAAGUGGAGUUACCUUGUCUGGUAGUCUAUACUCUGAGUAAAAU